Molecule: ribosomal RNA, 552 nt
Filed under: Tubuca elegans
Lineage: Eukaryota; Metazoa; Arthropoda; Malacostraca; Decapoda; Ocypodidae
Description: partial 16S rRNA
Rfam family: Bacterial large subunit ribosomal RNA
Source: RNAcentral
GUCUGUUUGGAGGUAUAAAAAGUCUGGCCUGCCCACUGAUAAUUAUUUUAAAGGGCCGCGGUAACUUGACCGUGCAAAGGUAGCAUAAUCGUUAGUUUUUUAAUUGGAAUCUUGUAUGAAUGGUUGAACAAAAGAAUAGCUGUCUCUAUGUUUUUAUUUGAAUUUAACUUUUAAGUGAAAAGGCUUAAAUUUUUUAAAAAGACGAUAAGACCCUGUAAAACUUGAUAAGUUUUAUUACUUAACCGAAUUAGUGCUAUGAAAAGUUUAGUGAAAAAAGCUUAUUUUAUUGGGGCGAUAAUGAUAAAAUGGUUUUAACUGUUGAUAAAAAAAGACAAGUCUUGGUGUGUAAGUUAUGUAAAUGAUCCUUAAAUUAAGAUUACAAGUUUAAGCUACUUCAGGGAUAACAGCGUUAUUUUUUUUGAGAGUUCAUAUCGAAAAAAAAGUUUGCGACCUCGAUGUUGAAUUAAAAUUUCUAUAUAAUUGCAGAAGUUAUAUUAGAGGGUCUGUUCGACCUUUAAAUUUUUACAUGAUUUGAGUUCAGACCGGCGUGAG